GCCACCUUGCCGUCUGCUUUAACGCGAACACGAGGCUUUUUACACCAGGAGCUGGAUGCGGCUAAGGUCGUUCUUCUCAACUUUCUUAAGGUCUCAAACAUAGUCCAGCAUCAACGAACCAUCAGUUUGGAAGGGUUACUGAUAUUUGUUCGCGACGACGAGACCAAACUCUUCUUAACAUGUCUGAUCCAGUUGAGAGGGCAACCUGAGGUGUUACGGUGGGCAUCCUCACUGUUCUGGAGGACUACGUGGGACCCAACUCGCAGUCCACAGGGGUCAACACUGCCAUUGUUUUGGAAGAGAACAUUAUUCUUGAUGAUCUGCCAGACCUUCCCACUGCCUUUGCCUACCUGGCCUACUUUAUGGACUCAACAUGGAGUUUCCCAAAGAACUCAAGUACACAUUUGUUUGCUGUAUGGAAACCAGAUAGAAGAGUUCACAUCCUGCCAUCUGAUGUUUUGAAUCUGUUUGUUAGUGACUAUCAAUCAAGAUAGGUUUGAUAUUCUGUCUGACAAUACCACACCUUUAAAAUUGUAACAUUUAUUACAAGAAUUUGGCUUUUUUUUUUUUUUUUUUUUUUUUUUGGGAAAAGGACUUUAUUUGUGGCUGAAUGUUGUCAGUAUGUUAAAAAUGGCUCAUCUCAAAACAUUGUCAGUGGUGCAAUUGUGUUUGAAUACAA
Astatotilapia calliptera (eastern happy) is the source of this 679-nucleotide long non-coding RNA. Lineage: Eukaryota; Metazoa; Chordata; Actinopteri; Cichliformes; Cichlidae. The record is from Ensembl.